Tritrichomonas musculus is the source of this 73-nucleotide non-coding RNA. Lineage: Eukaryota; Parabasalia; Tritrichomonadida; Tritrichomonadidae. The record is from the annotation of a GenBank genome assembly.
GGAGUGGUAGCUCAAAUGGUAGAGCAAUGGACCGCAGUUCCAUAGGUUAUCGGUUCGAGUCCGGUCGACUCCU